Molecule: ribosomal RNA, 254 nt
Filed under: uncultured bacterium
Lineage: Bacteria
Description: partial 16S ribosomal RNA
Rfam family: Bacterial small subunit ribosomal RNA
Source: RNAcentral
UACGGGGGGAGCAAGCGUUGUUCGGAUUUACUGGGCGUAAAGGGCGCGUAGGCGGUCGUGACAAGUCACUUGUGAAAUCUCCGGGCUUAACUCGGAACGGUCAAGUGAUACUGUCGGACUAGAGUACAGAAGGGGCAACUGGAAUUCUCGGUGUAGCGGUGAAAUGCGUAGAUAUCGAGAGGAACAUCGGUGGCGAAGGCGGCAUCCUGGACCGAUAUUGACGCUGAGGCGCGAAAGCCAGGGGAGCAAACGGG